AAGGUGCUUGCUUCCCCUUCACCUUCUGCCAUGACUGUGAGUUUCCUGAGGCCUCCCCAGCCAUGCCUCCUGCACAGCCUGUGGAACCAAAAACCAACUCACAUAUGAUGAAAUGUGAUGGGGGUGAAAUAACAGCAGUGUGAUUUUCGACCACCAACUUGCCUUGGAAGGGAAUUUGGGGAUGUGCACCGCUGGAAGCCAUGUGUUCUGAUAUGAGAAGAACUUCUUCAGAAGAUGUCUUAAUGCAUAUGGGGAAACUGAGGUCCAGGUAAGUAAAGUAAUUUUCAUAGAAAACCGAGACUAGAACCCAUGUUACUCAAUCCCCAGUUAAGACUGAGUUCAUAACACCAUACGGCCAUGCAGAUUAAGUCCUGAACUCUGUCUAUGCAAAAAACUGUGCUUCGUCACUGAGACUGAAAGACCCUCCUCAAAAGGUUUACUCUGUACACCAAAGGGGGGGAAAAAUUUUGGCAUUUUAUAGGCUAAAUCUAGCUUGCAGAUGUCGUUGAGUUUUUUUUUUUUUUUUUUUUCCUGGUUUGUCAAGUGUUUUUGAAAAAUUUGAACUAGUCGAUAUAAUUUAAAAAUCAGGAGUUUUCACAUGCAAAUCCAGAUUUCUGGCUCCCCUUCAAAAAGAGUCCAAGAUCAGGACACACUGGAACCACUUUCUCACAUGGCAGCUAUUGGUUAGAGCAGGUAGUAUGCUGAGCCAGAUCAUACCGGCUCAUAAGAGCCAAUGAUAAAAUAUUCAGAAAUGUUGUGGGCCACGUGUUAAAUGGUAGCUUGAAAUCAGCCGCAGGAUCAUUUACAGCAGCCAUGUUACCAUGGAAACAUGGACAAUGGAAACAUUGGUCCAUUGUCCAUCUGCUCCUGCUCCACAUUGGUCAAGGACGACGCCACCAGCAAAAUUCUCUUGUUCUUCUAGAUUACACAUACAUGAGUUGUCCUGGAAAAUCUCAAGUCAAAGAAGCUGCACUGCAGGAAAUCAAUAUGGUGCAGGCCCCAGGCAAGGCAUCACUGACUAUACUUGCAAGAAACAAAUGCCUGCAAAAAUCAGGACAAGAUGAUUUUGAAGCUGUGCAAAACAGGGGGCAACUAUUGCAUCCAGAAAAAAAAAAAAAAUGAAGAUGAUGAGUUCUCUGCAGCUAAGAUGAAGACCCACUGAGCUUUGGGGUUUAAAAUGCAACGUCAGAACUUCAGACUUCCGGCACCUAGGUCUCCAGCUGCUGAGUGGUGCCAGCAUCAGACAUACACUCUGCAAAACAGAUACUGUCUUAGGAAAAUGUGACCCUGUUGUCCUUUCAGGCCCAUAUUUCACAAGAAGACAAGUGGAGAGUUAAAAGGAAAACUGCAGAUCUGAGUGAAGAGACAGCAAGUUGUCUUUUCUGAUAUAGCCAGCAAAUAAGAUGUUCUGGUUGACAUGUGCUAAAGAUGUCGUGCGGACUUUCAGACUCAGAAUGUGAUCCCAUGUAUUUCUCACUGAAACUAUAUUGAAUGUUAUUUGACCACUGUUGAAUCAGUCAUCUUGAGAAAUGUUAUCUUCAUACAGUACCAAGCAGAGAGUCAGUGACUAGAAUGCCACUGAAACCAGCUUUUUAUAGGACAAGGUUUUCAUGGUUUUAGGGGGUGGGGAAACUUGCACAGUAAUCCACAGCAUUUAAUGAUUUAGGCAGGGUAGGGGAAAAGCGAUGAGCAUUCAUUUUGCUAGCAGUGUAACUUCCGUGGAGGAAUGAUAUACUGCUAAUUGUACUUCACAUUCCCUAUACUUAUACAGGCUUUACUACAUGAUCCAGCAUUGUGAUCAAAGAUGGAAGGAAUCUCUUAAUAGCUUUCCUUCCUUUUUCUAUUCUUAUUUCCUUACCAAUUCCCUUUAUCCCUGGUCCUUUUGCAUCUUUAUUUUUAGUCAGUACCCUGUUACUCUGCUGGAAAGAUCUGUGUAUGAAGCUGGAUAAUAAAAAUGUCAUGAUUGCCAUUUAUUUGGAGGGGUAGAGUGGAGGACUUGCGCAGCAUAGCAGCCCAGGCUGGAAGAGAGGAUCUGGCAGGGAGGAAGUUUGGCUGAAGGACAGGCCCCCUCAGGACUGAUUUCUUGGCAGUCUAUCCAAGUCCUUGGGUGUCUGCACUGGAGUUAUAAUAAUAGCCAAUCUUUAUUAAGCAUUUUGUCAGUGCCAGGAUCUGUGCAUUAUCUUAUUUAAUCCUUACACAACCCCGCAAAGUAGGCACAAUUACCAUCUCAAUUUAAAAGAUGAGGGCUGGCUGGGCGCGGUGGCUCAAGCCUGUAAUCCCAGCACUUUGGGAGGCCGAGACGGGCGGAUCACGAGGUCAGGAGAUCAAGACCAUCCUGGCUAACACGGUGAAACCCCGUCUCUACUAAAAAAAAUACAAAAAACUAGCCGGGCGACGUGGGCGGGCGCCUGUGUCCCAGCUACUGGAGAGGCUGAGGCAGGAGAAUGGCGAAUCCGGGAGGCGAGCUUGCAGUGAGCUGAGAUCCGCCACUGGCACUCCAGCCUGGGCUGCAUAGAGACAGACUCCUCUCAAAAAAAAAAAAAAAAAAAAAAAAAAAAAAAGACUUUGGCCCGCAUGGUGGCUUAUGCCUAUAUAAUCCCAGCCUCUUUGGGAGGCCAAAGCGGUAGAUUACUUGAGAUCAGGAGUUCCAGACCAGAUUGAAAAAAAAAAAAAAAAAAAAAAAAAAAAAAAGACUUUGGCCCGGCAUGGUGGCUUAUGCCUAUAAUCCCAGCUCUUUGGGAGGCCAAAGUGGGUAGAUUACUUGAGAUCAGGAGUUCGAGACCAGAUUGACCAACAUAGUGAAACCCUGUCUCUACUAAAAAUACAAAAAUUAGCCAGGCGUGGUGGUGGGCGCCUGUAAUCCCACCUACUCAGGAGGCUGAGGCAUGAGAAUCGCUUGAACACAGGAGGCAGAGGUUGCAGUGAGCUGAGAUCGUGCCAUUGCACUCCAGCCUGGGUGACAAAGCGAGACUGUCAGACACACAGACACACACAGACACACACACACACACACACACACACAAAGAUUAUAAAGACUUUAGAAAAUGUGCUUCUGUGUCCUUUAAAAACUCUUAAAGAACAAAAUGGUAGUUCCUGGACCAAAAUUCAAAGGACCCAAAUCCUUAUUUCUGUGUAGCCACCAACUCCCUGUAUUAUCGUGACACUGGACCACUGGCUCUCAUCUGUAAAAUUAGGAAGUUUGACUAGAUGGUAUCUGAGGAUGAUUUGGCCUCUGACAUUGGGUGAAUCCUCAGCUUCUAGGAGACGGUGUGGGGCGUGACUCACCUGGGCUAUUCCCACUUGGGAUGUGAGUGGCAAGAAGGCAGCACCUAUGAUUGUAGUGACUGGAUUUCCAAGUCUCCAAUCAGAACACGCAUUACCUGAAUCAUUGAGUGACAACGAGUUGUAAUGGUAACAUCAACCCUACUCCCGAAAUUCAAUGAUAUGGAAGGUAUGGUGGGUAAAUCCAGACCCACUCUCUUGUGGAGGGUGAGGCACUUCAUGAACUUCUAUAUUUGUAUCACCCUAUUUCUCCUUUGACAUCCAGUCCCUGAACUUCUCCACCAGCAAGCAAAAUAAAGCCAAGAGUGGUGUAUGCAUCCUAUUAUAAAAUCAUACCCAGGAUUCUGGACUCCUUAGCUGAUUUCGUCUUAUUCACAUGUGUUUGCAUAUUGCCUUUGUUAAGUGGUUCCAAAUCCAGUUUGUAAAGUACGAGAUGGCAUCGAUGUUCUGGAAAGGGCAAAUGCAUUCUCAUUCAGAGCAAAGGUGACCACCAUAGGAAGCAAGUUUUUAAGCCCUUCCCACUUUAGGAGAGAGAAAACAUAAUUAAGCAAAUUUGCCAUGGUGAGAGGCCUGGCUCUCCUUCCAUUUAAUGGGAAUAGAGCAUUGUGGAGAGGAAAAGUGCCAAAUGGUAUGUGAUUUUUAAAAUCUCCUACGCAUUUAAUAAUUAAUGCUUAUUUUUCUUCUAUUUUCCCCCACCCCCUCAACUCCUUUCCGCACUCAUUACAGCUCUUUGAUAUCCCCUCAGGAAUUAGGAUAUCUCCAGCUGUUUACAUAACCAGAGAUUAAGUCUAAUUGAAGGAGAAAUUUAGGCCACAAAAAAAUCAUGAUAAGAAAGCCAGAAAUGGAGUUUGCCUUGGGUCACAUUCUGAGAUUCAGUCAUAGCAACCUCAAAGGGCAUCGAGCAAAAGUUUUUUGGUGGACUCAUGAAUUAGAGGUGAGAGUGGCUAUUAUUUGCAAAGCUGGAUUAAGUGAAAGCAAAUGGUAACUGAUAUGAGCCUCCUCUCUGGAAGGAAUCUGCUGUGCAUGAGAGAUAAGAUAAAGCUCUAAUAAAAAUACUGACUUAGUUUCUGUUCUUUUGUGCUUACCUGCUCUGCUCCGUGUUAUCUCAUUUUUGUAGGCUUGACCCUGCUGCAGUUUGCAAGUUUCUAGGUGAAUAACUGUUGCACCUUUGUACAUGGUGGGUUUUGUGCAUGGAAUGUAUGUUGCCCAAUCCACUGCCUCUCCUCCCCUAUUGCCCCCACCCUUUCCCUGCUCUGACUUGAGCUGGCCUGAUGCUGAGGCAAAAUAAGCCAUUACUUUAAUAAGCCAUUAUUCACAAUAGAUUGGAAAGACAAGGAGCCCCACAGUGAGCUGACAUCGGCCUUGUAUUCCUAAUCAUGAAAUAGCAGAUAGGGGAUGUGCAUGGGAGGGAGGGAUUGCAGCAAGAAAACUUUGGGGCACUUCUUGGGUGAAAGGGGAGGUGGGAAGGCUGGGCAGGCCCAGGCAAGGACAGCUGCUCCAGUGGACAGUCUGAGUCAGUGCCUCUUGACCUCUAUCUGGGUGUAAGAGAAUCACUUGUGUUACUUAUGAAAAUGCAGAUUCCUUGGUCUCAGCUCCAG
Molecule: long non-coding RNA, 4880 nt
Filed under: Papio anubis (olive baboon)
Lineage: Eukaryota; Metazoa; Chordata; Mammalia; Primates; Cercopithecidae
Description: lncRNA (ENSPANG00000039606.1)
Source: RNAcentral